RNAcentral lists this ribosomal RNA (464 nucleotides) under uncultured bacterium. Its description in RNAcentral is "partial 16S ribosomal RNA". It matches the Rfam family "Bacterial small subunit ribosomal RNA", at positions 339 to 795 of the family's 1533-position model. The record is from RNAcentral.
CUACGGGUCGCAGCAGUGGGGAAUAUUGGACAAUGGGCGCAAGCCUGAUCCAGCAAUACCGCGUGUGUGAAGAAGGCCUGCGGGUUGUAAAGCACUUUCAAUUGUGAAGAAAAGCGAGAGGUUAAUAGCCUUUUGUCUUGACGUUAACUUUAGAAGAAGCACCGGCUAACUCUGUGCCAGCAGCCGCGGUAAUACAGAGGGUGCGAGCGUUAAUCGGAAUUACUGGGCGUAAAGCGUGCGUAGGCGGUUUAGUAAGUCAGAUGUGAAAGCCCUGGGCUCAACCUGGGAACUGCAUUUGAAACUGGUGAACUAGAGUGUGGUAGAGGGAAGUGGAAUUCCGGGUGUAGCGGUGAAAUGCGUAGAUAUCCGGAGGAACACCAGUGGCGAAGGCGACUUCCUGGACCAACACUGACGCUGAGGUACGAAAGCGUGGGUAGCAAACAGGAUUAGAUACCCUCGUAGUC